Molecule: ribosomal RNA, 253 nt
Filed under: uncultured bacterium
Lineage: Bacteria
Description: partial 16S ribosomal RNA
Rfam family: Bacterial small subunit ribosomal RNA
Source: RNAcentral
UACGUAGGGUGCAAGCGUUGUCCGGAAUUAUUGGGCGUAAAGAGCUCGUAGGCGGUUUGUCGCGUCUGCUGUGAAAACUCGGGGCUUAACUCCGGGCCUGCAGUGGGUACGGGCAGACUAGAGUGCGGUAGGGGAGACUGGAAUUCCUGGUGUAGCGGUGAAAUGCGCAGAUAUCAGGAGGAACACCGAUGGCGAAGGCAGGUCUCUGGGCUGACACUGACGCUCAUGCACGAAAGCGUGGGGAGCAAACAGG